Alosa alosa (allis shad) is the source of this 217-nucleotide long non-coding RNA. RefSeq lists it as uncharacterized. The record is from RefSeq and is a predicted model, not a curated record. Lineage: Eukaryota; Metazoa; Chordata; Actinopteri; Clupeiformes; Clupeidae. The transcript is spliced from 2 exons.
CGACCAUCCAGUGAGGGGUGCCCAGUACUUGGGGGGCAACUCGGGGGGCAAGGCGAUGACUCAUCCUUCAUGAAGGAUUCAUCAGCCACUUUGGGGCAUUUCUCACAAAAUCACCAAUUAAACGCGACUAGUUCAACCUUCACAGCAUCUAUUCUCUUCUGCUCAUCAUAAAAGCAAUUUCUCAUUACUUCAAAUAAACAGCAAAUGCUUGCGCAGA